UACGUAGGGUGCAAGCGUUGUCCGGAAUUAUUGGGCGUAAAGAGCGCGUAGGCGGCUAGGUAAGUCCGACGUGAAAUCUGGAGGCUCAACCUCCAGCGGUCGUUGGAAACUACUUGGCUAGAGUCCGGAAGAGGAGAGUGGAAUUCCUGGUGUAGCGGUGAAAUGCGCAGAUAUCAGGAAGAACACCGAUGGCGAAAGCAGCUCUCUGGGACGGUACUGACGCUGAGGCGCGAAAGCGUGGGGAGCGAACAGG
This 253-nucleotide ribosomal RNA is filed under the name uncultured bacterium. Its description in RNAcentral is "partial 16S ribosomal RNA". It matches the Rfam family "Bacterial small subunit ribosomal RNA", at positions 524 to 776 of the family's 1533-position model. The record is from RNAcentral.